Molecule: long non-coding RNA, 619 nt
Organism: Oryzias melastigma (Indian medaka)
Lineage: Eukaryota; Metazoa; Chordata; Actinopteri; Beloniformes; Adrianichthyidae
Exons: 3
Source: RefSeq, a predicted model, not a curated record
AGUUAUAUGACAUUAAAAUGUCACAUGUAAGGAUAUGACAAAUGUAAUGAAUAUAUAAGGAAAUGUGGGCGUGGCUAACAACAAACCUCUGUUGCUAAGGAGAUCCAAAAGUUUACUUUUGUCGAUUCUUCGAAAAAUUACAUAAAACUGUUCAUCACCUCUAGGCAAGCAAAAAAUAAAACGGUUGCUAUGGAGAUAAACCUACAGAAAGGCUGCCGUCAUUUUUCUUCAAUUUGUCUUAUCUGACCAGCUCUGGUGCUCAACCGGUGGGGGCGGGUUGAAGCCUUCAGCUCACAAGAGUCUGUGAUCAAAAGCUUCAGAAGAAAAACACUAGAGGCUGCAGCUCACAUCUACACUGCAUGGAAAAACACAAAAGUACUUCAUUAAAUAGGAAAUGUGGGGAUUUCAAUGAUACAGAAUGUGAAGGGGCGGGGCCACCGUGAAACCAAACCCACCUGGAGUCCACCAGUUCAGCCCAAAGGUAAACCAUGAAAUGAUGCUGGGAAGAAAUCAAAGUAAAUCAAACUUAUUCACAUCAAGUAAUCAAACCUGAUUCUGUUAAAAUAAAUUAAAGUAAAUAAGAACUAAUCAAAUUACGUAAUAAACUUGCUUUAAUCAA